Molecule: long non-coding RNA, 344 nt
Filed under: Elaeis guineensis (African oil palm)
Lineage: Eukaryota; Viridiplantae; Streptophyta; Magnoliopsida; Arecales; Arecaceae
Description: long non-coding RNA (EGUI_LNC075726)
Source: RNAcentral
GAAUAUGGUUACCGUAUAAUUCAUCCCUUUUGACCCCUAUGUUUAGGAUGACUCAGGGUUAAACUGUCAACCCUGAUGAGAUCAUCCGAAUCAUGCUCAACUCAAUUAGUCCUGUGACUCCUCACUAGGACUACCCUGGCCAAGGUUUUGCUAAAUUGAAAUACGACUGUACCCAGCUCCUAAACUGGAGUGGUCAAUCCCAUCUUGACACACGCACCGACAAGUCAAGUACUUGACUACACCCAGCAGCCUUCCGUCACUGAAUUAGAAAUUCAGGUAGUCCAGUGUCUAAGUGCAGUGAGUUGCUUGCAAGUCACCGUGGCGGUCUCAGGUCGGAGAGACAU